This is a long non-coding RNA of Engraulis encrasicolus (European anchovy), 203 nucleotides long. RefSeq lists it as uncharacterized. The record is from RefSeq and is a predicted model, not a curated record. The transcript has 3 exons. NCBI's taxonomy places the organism in Eukaryota, Metazoa, Chordata, Actinopteri, Clupeiformes, Engraulidae.
GGAUAAGAGCGCCAAGCAGGCCUCCAGGCCCACCAUGUUGGUUAGGCCAACACAGGUUACGACCACUAAGUGGGAUUGAGUACCCUCUGCCAGCGAUGGUCAACGGAAGACUCAAGAUAAGAAGCUGCUAUCAAAGGCCGAGCCACAACGUCCAACUCACUCCGGCAGGCUUGUCAGCUGACCCAUCAGUUCCUUCCCAAGGU